UUCAGAAGAAAGUGUGGAGGAGU
Molecule: unclassified non-coding RNA, 23 nt
Filed under: Mus musculus (house mouse)
Lineage: Eukaryota; Metazoa; Chordata; Mammalia; Rodentia; Muridae
Description: oocyte_clustered_small_RNA8992
Source: RNAcentral